AUUGAACGCUGGCGGCAGGCCUAACACAUGCAAGUCGAGCGGAUGAAGAGAGCUUGCUCUCUGAUUCAGCGGCGGACGGGUGAGUAAUGCCCAGGAAUCUGCCUGGUAGUGGGGGACAACGUUUCGAAAGGAACGCUAAUACCGCAUACGUCCUACGGGAGAAAGUGGGGGAUCUUCGGACCUCACGCUAUCAGAUGAGCCUAGGUACGAUUAGCUAGUUGGUGAGGUAAAAGCUCACCAAGGCGACGAUCGUUAACUGGUCUGAGAGGAUGAUCAGUCACACUGGAACUGAGACACGGUCCAGACUCCUACGGGAGGCAGCAGUGGGGAAUAUUGGACAAUGGGCGAAAGCCUGAUCCAGCCAUGCCGCGUGUGUGAAGAAGGUCUUCGGAUUGUAAAGCACUUUAAGUUGGGAGGAAGGGCAGUAAGUUAAUACCUUGCUGUUUUGACGUUACCGACAGAAUAAGCACCGGCUAACUUCGUGCCAGCCGCCGCCGUAA
RNAcentral lists this ribosomal RNA (500 nucleotides) under uncultured bacterium. RNAcentral describes it as "partial 16S ribosomal RNA". It matches the Rfam family "Bacterial small subunit ribosomal RNA", at positions 30 to 523 of the family's 1533-position model. The record is from RNAcentral.